UGAAGCCUUCAAUGCCAUACAAGGUGCAUGU
This 31-nucleotide non-coding RNA is filed under the name Mus musculus (house mouse). The record is from RNAcentral. Lineage: Eukaryota; Metazoa; Chordata; Mammalia; Rodentia; Muridae.